This 1857-nucleotide ribosomal RNA is filed under the name Triticum aestivum (bread wheat). RNAcentral's name for it is "partial small subunit ribosomal RNA". Lineage: Eukaryota; Viridiplantae; Streptophyta; Magnoliopsida; Poales; Poaceae. The record is from RNAcentral.
AUGGACGCUGAGGAUGCCGCGACACCAGUUUCCACUGCCAAGACCAUCAAGCCUAAAAGACGCUUCACACGGUCGCUGCUUGGACUGGACAGAGAGACUGCAGCCAGUGAAAUUAUAGGAGACGCCUCGCUUGAUUUGUCUGCAACACCAGGGAGGAGGUUCACAAGGUCACUGCUCAAGCCAAAGGUUGAGGCGCCUCCUGCCAGCAGCCCGGUUGUGCCUGAGGAGCCCGUCGACAGCACACCAGAGACCCCUCCACCGGUGACGAAGAUGGAGAUGAAGAUGUCCAAGAAAGUUGCCUGCCUCUCAAAGCACCCAGGCAACACCAGAGAUUUGCUCAGCACAGGACUGCUCGAGGGAAUGCCGGUUAUGUACAUCAUCCCUAAUAGCAAGAAGCCUGUGCUUAAAGGUGUGAUUGCAGGUUGCAAUAUACGUUGCUUUUGUGUUAAGUGUGAUGGCUCCAAGGCUAUUACCACAUAUUUCUUCGAACUACAUGCUGGAAGCAGCAAAAAACACCCUGCAGAGUACAUCUACUUAGCAAAUGGUAAUAGUUUGCGGGAUGUGCUGCGUGCCUGUGAAAGUUCUCCUUUGGAUUCUCUAGAUAAAACAAUCCAGUCCUGCAUUGAUCCCAUGCUUACAAGGACCCGCACGAAUUGUCUGAACUGCAACGGUGAGCUACCUUCACAAACGGAAGAACAGUUUCUGUGCCAUCAGUGUUGCCCAGAGUCGAACCAACCUCAAGAUCCUACUUCCCCGUUGGCAUGCAGCAAGAGCAGUUCCAGGCUGACUCCAAGUUCCAAGGAAUCUUUGUUGAAGAGGAUGUCGGCAAGCAAAGGCGCAAGUACUGGAAAAGUAACAACAAAGGAUACGGGGCUACACAAACUGGUAUUCAAGGUUUUGCUUGACGGUACUGAAGUAACCUACUAUGUUGAUGGGCAGAAAAUAAUCGAUGGAUACAUCAAGGAUCAAAGAAUCUACUGUAACCAUUGCAACAAAGUGGUCAGCCCCUCAGCGUUCGAAGCUCAUGCGGGUGAGGGAUCAAGACGCAAACCGUAUGACAACAUCUAUACGUCCAAUGGGGUAUCCCUGCAUGAGCUGUCGAUGAGAAUAUCAAAAGACAUGCAAUUGUCGGAACGUGAAACUGAUGAUCUGUGCAGAGAAUGUGGUCUAGGAGGGGAUAUUUUCCCUUGCAAAAUGUGUCCGAGGUCAUUUCACCCAGCUUGCGUUGGGCUGCCUGGAGUUCCCUCGGAGGAGUGGUUUUGUGAUAACUGCACCAUCCUCGUUCAGAAAGAAAAGGCUUUAGCAGCAAAUAAGAAUGCCAAGGCUGCUGGGAGGCAGGCCGGAGUCGAUUCUAUUGAGCAGAUUUUGAAGAGGGCUAUUAGAAUCGUCCCAAUCUGUGAUGACCUUGGAGGAUGCGCCUUAUGCAAGAAAAAGGAUUUUAACAAUUCAGUAUUUGAUGAGCGCACUGUGAUACUCUGUGAUCAAUGCGAGAAAGAAUACCAUGUAGGAUGUUUGAGGAGUGAAUGGCAGGUCGACCUGAAGGAAUUACCAGAAGGGGAGUGGUUCUGUUGUGAUAGUUGCUCUGAGAUACGCUCCUCUUUGGACAAGAUGAUUUCUGAAGGAGCUCAGCCUUUGUCGGAGUCAGACCUUGAUAUCAUAAGGAAGAAGCACGAGUCAAAAGGUUUGAUCAUGGACACCGAUACAGAGAUCAGAUGGCAAUUGGUUGCUGGUAGAAGUGCCACUGAAGAUGGCAACUCAUUGCUUUCUUCUGCUGUCCCAGUUAUUCAUCAAUCUUUUGAUCCAAUCAUUGAAGCCCAUACUGGUAGGGAUCUAAUUCCUGAGAUGGUCCACGGGUAA